This 357-nucleotide unclassified non-coding RNA is filed under the name soil metagenome. Its description in RNAcentral is "partial contains 5.8S ribosomal RNA, internal transcribed spacer 2, and large subunit ribosomal RNA". The stretch from base 1 to 120 matches the Rfam family "5.8S ribosomal RNA", at positions 35 to 154 of the family's 154-position model. The record is from RNAcentral.
GAUGAAGAACGUAGCGAAAUGCGAUAAGUAAUGUGAAUUGCAGAAUUCAGUGAAUCAUCGAAUCUUUGAACGCACAUUGCGCCCGCUGGUAUUCCGGCGGGCAUGCCUGUUCGAGCGUCAUUUCAACCCUCAAGCUCUCCGGAGUUUGGUGUUGGGGCGCCUGGGGCUUUUCGACCUCAGGGCCCUCAAGUCCAUCGGCGGGACCGCCAGGACACUGAGCGCAGUAGUAUUAUUUCGCUCGGUAGGAUCUUCCACGGCGGGUCGAUCUGGCCGCUAAACCCCCCAAUUCUCACCAAAGGUUGACCUCGGAUCAGGUAGGAAUACCCGCUGAACUUAAGCGUAUCAAUAAGCGGAGGA